Long non-coding RNA from Cavia porcellus (domestic guinea pig), 1783 nucleotides. RefSeq lists it as uncharacterized. The record is from RefSeq and is a predicted model, not a curated record. The transcript is spliced from 5 exons. Lineage: Eukaryota; Metazoa; Chordata; Mammalia; Rodentia; Caviidae.
CAUGAGGACAGGUCUCCUGUUCUCAGUAGCCUGGGGUCUGGGCAGGGACAGUUACAUAAAUCCAUCUUUGGAGCCAGUGUGAGAAGACCAGAGAUAAGCAUGGCAGGAUUUUUAUGGGAUCUGAGAUAACAAGUCUCUAACACUGGGGAGGGGAAAUAUGCAGGAGGCUUAGGGUGACUUCUGGAUGAAAGGACAUUGGACUGAUUCUUCAAGGCUUUGACUAGGAGAGAAGAGGAAUUGAGGUGCUGAGCAAAGCUCUCUAGAGUUCCAGGAUCUGGCUCAUGCAAGAUCAAGAGGAUCACAAGUAGGCCAGAAAGAGACCUCCAGAAAUCCUGCCUGUUUUGUGGCCUCCUGGGCUGGCUCUUGGAACAUGUGGCUGUUUUGCAAACACAAAGAUGAACUGUCUGUUCUGUGGCUCCCCACUCUGGCAGACGACCAGGGAUAUACCUGCUCAGAUUGACCCUGCAGCUGGAGGAGUCUGCUUUUAGGACAGGGUUCAUCCCUCUAAGGCCUGAACAGAGCUGGGCUCCAAGUGUUAAGACUGCAUAAAGCAUUUGAUGAAAAGCAAUGAGCAUUGGUGGCCAACUGCGUUAAGCUGGAGGACACAGCCGCUUGGAAAUGAGGCCUUCCCUAAAAAGAACCGAGGCCUGGCACAUGAUUUACUGAAGGGGUAUCACAUUUUAAAGAUUGAAACUACUGACAUUAUCAGCUGACCUUCCUAGAAGACCACAUCUACAUGCAGAGUGUGAGGCAGCCCCUGGUAUUUUCAAGGUGCUGUCUCAGUGGCUUCCCAGCACAGCUCUCCAUGAUAGGCAGGGUGGACAUGACUACUCCGAUUGUAGAAAAUGAAAGUUCUCAAUUCCAAAGCGGUCCCCAAGGAAACUCUCAGAAAACCAAGUCAAGUGGACUGCCAUAGAGAGACACUGCCUGGAUGAAACAGUUAAAUGCUGCGCUCAGGUUAACAAAAUCAAGUAACUAUGGUAUUAUUCUAAAGCCCUUCUUUCAUAUUGUCUUUUUUCUUUUAGUUUUACCUUUUUUUUUUCCUACCUGGGAUUGAACUCACCACCCCAUGCUGGCCUGGCAGGCACUUGUGCCACUGAGCUAAGUCCCCAGCAGUUUUACCUUAUUUUUGAUUGGUGUGUAAUAAUUGUACAUUCUUUUGAUUGUAAUUGUUGCUCAGUUAUACAGACUGGCUGACCUCUUUUUUGAAAUGGGGUCUCCCUAAGCAGUUCAGGCCAGACUUAAGCUCACUGUGUAACACAGGCUGACUUCAGCCUCAUGGCAAUACUCUUGCUUCAACCUUGCAAGCUCUGGGAUUACAGGACUGUACCACCAUGUCUGGCUUUAGACUGGCUGAACUCUUGUCCAAACCCUGCCUUUGUUUGUCUUUAAGAACAGGAUGUUUAUGAGCAACAGUCAUGUGUGACCAGAUCCAUUGAAACGGAGACUCAAGAUGACCACUUAAAUGACCUCUAACAGACCUCAAACCCCAUUUUAAUUCAAUCUCCGUGCUAGAUGACACCCCCAGAGCCAUGAAAUUUGACAGCUAGCAGGAGGAUGGUGUGUAAGAAAAGCAAUAGGAACAAAAGAGGCAGCCCUGCAAUUCCUAGCAAAUCUCUACUUAUUCCCUGAAAAAGACAUAAAUAUUUCUCCCCCUUACAGCUUUUCCUCCUCCUCAUUCCUUUUGCCCUGUAUCUGGGCAGAGAUGAGAAUUUGACUUGUGAACUAGGCCAGCACUUCUCUAUUCUUUGACCACUGAAUAAAUUUAUGCUGUUGGCAAUCA